Non-coding RNA from Teladorsagia circumcincta, 102 nucleotides. The record is from the annotation of a GenBank genome assembly. Lineage: Eukaryota; Metazoa; Nematoda; Chromadorea; Rhabditida; Trichostrongylidae.
AAAAUUUCGGAACGCUUCACGAACUUGCGCGUCAUCCUUGUGCAGGGGCCAUGCUGUUCUUGUUCUUAUUGUUCCAGUUUCAGUAUAUGCUGAGGAAUGAAC